This 347-nucleotide ribosomal RNA is filed under the name uncultured eukaryote. RNAcentral's name for it is "SSU rRNA". It matches the Rfam family "Eukaryotic small subunit ribosomal RNA", at positions 594 to 945 of the family's 1831-position model. The record is from RNAcentral.
AUAGCAUAUAUUAAAGUUGUUGCAGUUAAAAAGCUUGUAGUUGAACUUCAGACCUGGCCGGAUGGUCUGCCUUCACGGUAUGUACUGUCUGGCUGGGCCUUACCUCUUGGUGAGCCGGCAUGCCCUUCACUGGGUGUGUUGGGGAACCAGGACUUUUACCUUGAGAAAAUUAGAGUGUUCAAAGCAGGCCUAUGCUCGAAUACAUUAGCAUGGAAUAAUAAAAUAGGACGUGCGGUUCUAUUUUGUUGGUUUCUAGAGUCGCCGUAAUGAUUAAUAGGGAUAGUUGGGGGCAUUAGUAUUCAGUUGCUAGAGGUGAAAUUCUUGGAUUUACUGAAGACUAACUACUG